UACGUAAGGUCCGAGCGUUGUCCGGAAUCAUUGGGCGUAAAGGGUACGUAGGCGGUUAAGCAAGUUGGAAGUGAAAUCCUAUAGCUCAACUAUAGUAAGCUGUUAAAACGGCGGAGCUUGAGGUAGGGAAGGGGAAGUGGAAUUCCUAGUGUAGCGGUGAAAUGCGCAGAUAUUAGGAGGAAUACCGGUGGCGAAGGCGACUGCCUGGCCCUUAUCUGACGCUGAGGUACGAAAGCGUGGGUAGCAAACAGG
RNAcentral lists this ribosomal RNA (252 nucleotides) under uncultured bacterium. Its description in RNAcentral is "partial 16S ribosomal RNA". It matches the Rfam family "Bacterial small subunit ribosomal RNA", at positions 524 to 776 of the family's 1533-position model. The record is from RNAcentral.